UUCCUUCUGGCUCAGAUGGUAAAGCAUCUGCCUAUAAUGCGGGAGACCUGGGUUCAAUCCCUGGGUUGGGAA
This 72-nucleotide transfer RNA is filed under the name Ovis aries (sheep). It matches the Rfam family "tRNA". From Rfam's summary of the family: Transfer RNA (tRNA) molecules are approximately 80 nucleotides in length. Their secondary structure includes four short double-helical elements and three loops (D, anti-codon, and T loops). Further hydrogen bonds mediate the characteristic L-shaped molecular structure. tRNAs have two regions of fundamental functional importance: the anti-codon, which is responsible for specific mRNA codon recognition, and the 3' end, to which the tRNAs corresponding amino acid is attached (by aminoacyl-tRNA synthetases). tRNAs cope with the degeneracy of the genetic code in two manners: having more than one tRNA (with a specific anti-codon) for a particular amino acid; and 'wobble' base-pairing, i.e. permitting non-standard base-pairing at the 3rd anti-codon position. The record is from Rfam by way of RNAcentral. Lineage: Eukaryota; Metazoa; Chordata; Mammalia; Artiodactyla; Bovidae.